GCUACGGGUGGCAGCAGUGGGGAAUAUUGGGCAAUGGGCGCAAGCCUGACCCAGCAAAGCCGCGUGAAGGAAGAAGGCCCUCGGGUUGUAAACUUCUUUUGUCAGGGACGAAGCAAGUGACGGUACCUGACGAAUAAGCCUCGGCUAACUACGUGCCAGCAGCAGCUGUCAUACGUAGGUGGCAAGCGUUAUCCGGAUUUACUGGGUGUAAAGGGCGUGUAGGCGGGGAAGCAAGUCAGAUGUGAAAUUACAGGGCUCAACCCUGGAACUGCAUUUGAAACUGUUUUUCUUGAGUGAUGGAGAGGCAGGCGGAAUUCCGGGUGUAGCGGUGAAAUGCGUAGAUAUACGGAGGAACACCAGUGGCGAAGGCGGCCUGCUGGACAUUAACUGACGCUGAGGCGCGAAAGCGUGGGGAGCAAACAGGAGUAGAUACCCCUGUAGUC
RNAcentral lists this ribosomal RNA (443 nucleotides) under uncultured bacterium. RNAcentral's name for it is "partial 16S ribosomal RNA". It matches the Rfam family "Bacterial small subunit ribosomal RNA", at positions 338 to 795 of the family's 1533-position model. The record is from RNAcentral.